UUCGUCACAACAACAAAAUUAGACUAACUUUUUAGUUUUGCCUCCAAAAUUUUUGACCACUUAUUUAGUUUCCCACCACACCCUAUUACAUUUUAGCAAACCCUUCUAAGCUGUAGAGAGACCAUGGGCUUCACUCAUAGCACGAAAAUCUAGAGAGACCGUGGGAUCAUUCUCGGAGAUUUCUUUCCGGCGUUGGAGAUGCUCGAAGGCAUUCACUCCAUUGUCAUCUUCACUAAGAGGUCUUUCAAUCUCCACAGUUUUUUAGAUUUCUUUGGUGGGUCUUCAUCAAAUUAUAAAAUUGGCUCCUUCACUCGAAGUGCAUUUGAAAUAAUUUUGUUAAUGGAACUUUGGAUGUUCAUGAUCGAUUUACAACCACAAUGGCUACGUCCUAAAAAUCACUCUUUGUUAUCGAAAGACCUCUUUGUUAUCGAAAGACAAGGGUUUGUAAUCAGAGGCGAAUCUACAAUUUAUAAAAGAUGAGUUCACUACUAAAGAAAGGAGGAAAAAAAAUGCUUCGAGUGGGGAUUGAUCCCUGAACCUUCAGGUAAAUAAAUUAGCUUUCAACCAAGCCUUUUGUAGCAUGUGUUCUAAAAGGUAAUAUUAGAUAUAUUUUAAGAAUUAUACACAUAAUCUACUGAGUUUAGUCGGGUGACCAUGUGUUCACGUGACCCUUUUUUACCCCCUAAAUUCACCACUGUUUGUAAUAUAAGCUUGGUCCUAAAGAUCAUGUUUUACUUUGUAGUAUUAUCAUAGAUGUUUAUUUCACUUGUAGAAAAUACUUACAGUUGUUCUCCAGCAUAGCUACUUGACUAUCAUAUGUAGUUCGUAUUAUUAUUUAAAUGAUAGAGUACAAUGUUGGGCAGUUGUACGUGUUUUCAAGUCUAAGAGCAUUAAUGUAAGUUUUAUGUCUUUAUUUUCAGUAUUAUUUGUUAGAGGUACAAUUGAAUGGUGUUUUGAAAAUAAGAAAUACAUCAAUCACAUUCUUAAGGUUGAAUGUUGUCUGCCUAGGACCUAUGUCCACCGGGAUUGGAGUUCAAUGAGUAACCAUGUGUAAGCUACCUAUCUAGCGCAAUCUCUAACUGAUUUUUGUUAAGUAUGUCACCCUGUUUGACUAUGUUAUAAAACUCAUUAUCCAUGAAUGUUGCUAAAAACUGUCUAGGCACGUAAUGCUACUAUGAGAGGACUUCAAUUGCUUCUAUAUUCUAUGAGCAACUAUCAAGAAAUGAAUAACUAGUUUCCAUUUCCAGUUAGUUUCAUUUUCUAGAAUUUUUGUGACUUGUUAGUUGCUGGAUUUAAAAAAAAAAUUACUCCAGCAAAGCUAAAUACAUGAAUCCAUCCAAUGUUUGGAUCAAUCUGAAUUCUAGUGCUUCUGGUAUUGAAUUCCUACACAAACACAACAUAUACAAAAACAUUGGUCCCUUCUCUAAUUUUUCAGUAAUGUCAUAGGUGUUAGGUUAUUGAAGAGCGGGUAGGUCAUUGUGCAAGUUAAGGACAACUUUAUUUAAUUUUUAUGAUUUAUUGCAUAUGUAUAUAUGAAGUAAAAUGACUACAUUGCAUUAGGAUGAUCCAAAAGAGAAACGGGCUGUUCAAUAGCUCUGUUCACCGCUAACACCAAAAAAUCGUCAUUCCACUCCUACAAGAAAAUAAUAAGAUUUAUUUGAAAAGUCUAUGGGACAUUAAUCUGAAACAAAAUCCACAGAUAAAUACAUGUCUUAAAUUUUUCCCGGUGAAGAGAGUCAAUGUCUUAGCUUCCUAUGAAUUGUUUCUGCCCUUCUAUAUAGAUGAAACUUGUUUUAUGAAACCUUGAGUUGACGUCUCCUUUCUGCCCAAUUUCAUUUGUUUAUCCACCAGCAAUAAUAAAAAUGCAACGGGAAAAGGUGAAAAUAAGGAAGCUCAAAGAUAAGAAAUCAUAUUCUAUCACCUAGUGUUUGGUGUUUACCAAUCUUGAUUGAGGUCGUUCUAAGAUAGUGUGUUUGGUAAAAAUAAGGAAGCUCAAAGAUAAGAAGUUGUAGUCUAUCACAGAGUUUUUGGUGUUUACCAAUCUUCACUGGGUUCGUUCUAAGACAGAGCUUAAGUAUAGUUGUUUACCUGAGUAUCUCAAGAUAAAGAAGUGCUGUUGACCAGGGAAAUAAAUAGCAUUAUCGCGUGCUUCAUCGAAUAAGUAAAAGAUGACAAAGCUAUAAACCCAUAAAGCGUUAGCUGAGGCUAAAAUCAAAGGAAAGUACGGAACUACCAGCUUGCUAUUUUGGAUUGACUUCUAUGUUCUAAUUCUGUUGAUAUAGGUUUUAGUUUUACACUUUGUUAAAUGACGGUGGAAAAUGGUAGUAUCUUUAUCUGAUGUAUUAGUAGUGAAGUAUAAAAUAAUAGUUGGAUUUAUUUUGAAGCUGUCAAGCAACAUUUGUUUGGUUUUAUCUCAUUAACUCAACUUUUUAUUCUAGUGAAGUUCACUUCCUGUGUUUGCUGUUUGUUUAUGUUUGUAUAAGCGGCAAUGAACGCCUAAAUAUUGAUUGAAAUGGUUCAAUUCUGGGUAUUUAAAAUUAAAUAGAAAGGUUAUGUGACAAUAGGCUGUAAAAUUCUGAUUAAAAAUUGGCUGCAACUCUGGGAAAGCAGAAGGGUGAAUAUUUAUCCCCAAGUAAUUGCUAUGUUUUUUGUCAUGUGGUAUUUAUCUACUCAAGUGUGUUUACUAAAAGGUAGUGGGUAGGAUACAUUUUUUCUGUUAAAUUUUGGAUAUAUGUACUUUGUGUUAUUUUUUGGCCCUUUAACCUUCGGAACAAUGGAUGUUUGUCUGAACCUCUUAUGUGGAGUUGAUUGUUUGUAACAGGAUGACAUGCUUUCUAUCAAUGAUAAUUGUGUGUAGGAUGAAAUGGAGGCUAGGGUGGCUUCUGCUAUUUCAGUCUCAUCAGAUGAUUCACAAGAAGUCCACGAACUCGAUGUAAAUCGCAUAUACUUGGAUGUUGUAGGUGGAGAGAAAAAACGACUUGUGUAUGGAUUGGGCGCUCAAGCUUUGAAUUUGUAUCAAGACUGCAAUUCUGCUACUUCACAGAACUUGUCUACGGUGACUGAUCGUGCUGAUGGAGAACACUUCAAACUUCUUGAGGAAGAGAUGUUGCGUAUGAGAGAAAAUCAAGAGAGAAUUCUUCAAGAGCGUAUAGAGGCGAAUGUUCAACGUCUUGACGCGGAGGUAAAACAACUUGUAGAGCAGGAGGUAUAGCGUUUGAGACAAGAAAGUGAUGAUCGGUUUAAGUCUAUGGAGGAUUGAUGGUCUCGCAUGAUGAGCGAGAUGGCGCUAUAUUCUCGAUCAUCUGGUGAUCCUACUCUUUCUAAAUAGGGACUCACCAAAUACUUAAGUGUUUAACAUUUUGAGACUUUAGUUACUCAGAAAUUCUUUUAACGUUGUCAAGACUUUUGUUAGUUGGAUGCUUUGUAAGUUUUAAUAUUUGUACACUUUUGCUUAUUGAAGUUGUGUUUUUGCACGUUUUAACUUCAUGCUUUUGUAUUGUAAAUUUAAUAUUUGUUGUAGUUGCUAA
Lycium barbarum (goji berry) is the source of this 3527-nucleotide long non-coding RNA. RefSeq lists it as uncharacterized. The transcript has 3 exons. The record is from RefSeq and is a predicted model, not a curated record. NCBI's taxonomy places the organism in Eukaryota, Viridiplantae, Streptophyta, Magnoliopsida, Solanales, Solanaceae.